RNAcentral lists this ribosomal RNA (471 nucleotides) under uncultured bacterium. RNAcentral describes it as "partial 16S ribosomal RNA". It matches the Rfam family "Bacterial small subunit ribosomal RNA", at positions 28 to 507 of the family's 1533-position model. The record is from RNAcentral.
GACGAACGCUGGCGGCGUGCUUAACACAUGCAAGUCGAACGAUGAAGCCUAGCUUGCUAGGUGGAUUAGUGGCGAACGGGUGAGUAAUACGUGAGUAACCUACCUUUAACUCUGGGAUAAGCCUGGGAAACUGGGUCUAAUACCGGAUACGACCAAUCUCCGCAUGGGGUGUUGGUGGAAAGCGUUAUGUAGUGGUUAUAGAUGGGCUCACGGCCUAUCAGCUUGUUGGUGAGGUAACGGCUCACCAAGGCGACGACGGGUAGCCGGCCUGAGAGGGUGACCGGCCACACUGGGACUGAGACACGGCCCAGAGUCCUACGGGGGGCAGCAGUGGGGGAUAUUGCACAAUGGGCGCAAGCCGUAUGCAGCGACGCCGGGUGAGGGAUGACGGCCUUCGGGUUGUAAACCUCUGUUAGCAGGGAAGAAGAGAAAUUGACGGUACCUGCAGAGAAAGCGCCGGCUAACUACGUG